Molecule: long non-coding RNA, 567 nt
Filed under: Homo sapiens (human)
Lineage: Eukaryota; Metazoa; Chordata; Mammalia; Primates; Hominidae
Description: HSALNT0384794
Source: RNAcentral
CUUCUAAAGAUUAAAAAAACCCCUACGAUUAAAAACCUCAGGUCCCUCAGGCAAUCAUACCAGAUAUUGAAACAAAGCAAUAACAUAAGGACUGCAGUAUUCAUUUUAUUUUUAUAUUAUUUAUUUAUUCUUCCUUAGUUUCUUGAGAUUAUCAUCCGCUGAGGGUGGAAGGGGAGUGAGCAGACACACUCAGGAGGUGUCUUGAGAUUAUCAUCCGCUGAGGGUGGAGCUGAGGGUGGAAGGGGAGUGAGCAGACACUCGGGAGGUGUCUUGAGAUUAUCAUCCGCUGAGGGUAGAGCUGAGGGUGGAAGGGGAGUGAGCAGACACUCGGGAGGUGUCUUGAGAUUAUCAUCCGCUGAGGGUGGAGCUGAGGGUGGAAGGGGAGUGAGCAGACACUCGGGAGGUGUCUUGAGAUUAUCAUCCGCUGAGGGUAGAGCUGAGGGUGGAAGGGGAGUGAGCAGACACUCGGGAGGUGUCUUGAGGCUCAGGGAGUUAUCAAUUAUAGAAUGUUGUUGAGUUGGAGGAGGUGGCUGGUGGCCCAUCCUGUUUUUUAAAGUUUCAGCUGUG